Molecule: long non-coding RNA, 352 nt
Filed under: Physcomitrium patens
Lineage: Eukaryota; Viridiplantae; Streptophyta; Bryopsida; Funariales; Funariaceae
Description: long non-coding RNA (PPAT_LNC011620)
Source: RNAcentral
ACUUACGGGAAGAAGAGUGUCACUUCCUCACAAACGCCCGGUUUGUCCCAGUGGACAUCACGGCUUUGCAAAUCGAUCACCGUGUCCGUAUGAGUGAAAACCUCUACCUCGCAGGAAUUCAACAAUCUCAACUCUUCUCGUCUUCUCCCUCUUUGCACGGCGGCCGGGGGGCCACCCCUAGUGAAGGCGGUCGUCCCUCAGACCUCUCUGCUCUAGCCGGAGGAGGUUGGCACUUCACCUUUUCCCUGUGUGCAGUUCUCUCAGGGAACGCACCAGGAUCUCCAUUCUUCUUUGCCGAAAGCGAAGGAGAAAAGGAGGACAGAACCUUCGAAAAUGUUGACCAUCAGGAGGG